Long non-coding RNA from Portunus trituberculatus (swimming crab), 590 nucleotides. RefSeq lists it as uncharacterized. The record is from RefSeq and is a predicted model, not a curated record. Lineage: Eukaryota; Metazoa; Arthropoda; Malacostraca; Decapoda; Portunidae. The transcript is spliced from 2 exons.
UGACAUUAGUGUAUCGCCGCGACGUGGCUGCUUCGUUCCUACUGGAUGGAAAAAGUCUGAACACCGGUCUGCCAUUACCCAGCUGUCGUCCAUACCAGCCACACUUACAGUCUGGUCAGGAAUCUGGCCGGAAUCCGUCUUCUCACCAGGAAACGACUUGGCAAGACAGUUGCAGGGGAGGCGUUGAGGUGGGAAACAUUGGACUGCCGACACAACAAACCGACUUGACAUGUACAGUACCUACACACGCAGGUUGUGGGCUGCCGGCUGCAGGUUGCCACGCAUCUCCUGUGAAGUACACGACCAACUUCUCUGACCCGUGAACCUGGCUCUGCGUGCUGCUCUCGGCACCCUGUCUAGUUGUGGCGAAGACAUAAUGUGCUUCGGGCCUAGUCUGGCAACCUGAUGGCGGUGACGCAGUACAUGAACACUGUCCUCUUUGCUGGUCCUUUCUCAUCAGCGGCAACUCCUGAUUGGGUUACUCCUCCGCGGCUCACGCCAUGGUUGUUCUCUCCUGCUGCCACCUCAGUGUGGAUUUUUUUGUACGCCCAUUGGGCCUCGGGUUCAGCUAAAUAAAGUUAGGAAUCCCA